UUCAUGGUACUGGCUAGCCUAGUUUUACUUCCUCUGUACAGAGCUGAGUGAGGGUGAGAAUGAGGAAAACACCUCUCUAUCUUAUGAAGGGGUCCUAGGAUCCUAGUGAGAGGGUUUCAGUUGGAUAGGCUAUUUCAGGCUUAAAGCAGGCCCAGAAUUCCAGGGAACCAUGAAGCAGGUUCUCUGAGGGCACUCUGAGGGGAUUGUAGUUGCUAAGAGGGGCCUAGACCAACUAGAUCAUGAUUAUUCUUUCUCAGUCUCUCAAAAAAUGCAAUGAAUAUCCCAGAACUUGGCUGGCUCUUUAAGGACAUCUUGCUUACAGACAGAGUGUUUUCCAAGUAGCUUUCUGCCUGCAGAGGCAUCCACAAACCUAAAUUGGAGACUUUAUCUACCUUGGGUCCCUCAAAACCCUGGGAAAUAGGACCAGAAAGAACCACAGGCUGUGGUGUUGGUUACAGAAAAUGAAAGGAUCCAAGUUAUCAAAAGUGGGUAACAAAGCAACAUCAAGAAACUGUGUCCUUAAAACUAAGAGAAUAUACAAGACAUUCUAAUCCACAUGGUUCUUAGGGUGAAAUCUAGCCUCUGGGCAGGUAAGAAAUCAGGGUGUGAGUCACCCCUCUUUAGCUGGAAUGACAAGAGACUCAGACCAUAACUCUAGAGAUUGAAGGGUUACCCACACCCGCAUUCCUUUUCAUGCCUCACCUAUCCCAGGUAUGCACUAAAACUACCGCUAAAAAUAACUGCAGAAACUUGAAGUCUGGGAAAUAGCACUGAACAGUCUCACCUGAAGUGAAGAGCUGAUUGGUGCCAAGUGGAAAGGAGACAGGAAGAAAAUGGGCUCCUCUGGAACCAUGCAGUCUCUAGGAGGUGGGCCCCAAGGUCUGCUCAGAGUCUUGGAGCUUUUGUUUGCUCGUAGCCAUCCAUCCCCUUAUACCAUCCAAACACAAAGGAUGUCUCCUGUCACUGUCACCCUUCAAUCAUCUGCCAGUGCCGUCAAAGAGGCCGGAAGGAGCAGGAGGAAUUGGGAAAGGAACAGGUGGGGAAAGUAAAAUAAAAGUGACCUUUGGACUGCCAGAAGAUUCACGUGAAACCUCACAUAAAAUCAGCAUGUGAAGACAGAGAGGAUGUUGGUGAUCACCAGAAUCUGUUCAUUUUUCCUUUGAAGAUACUUAAAGGAAGUAUGUGUAUGUUUACAGAUGCUUUGUAGUUUUAAAUUUAUGCUGGACAUUGCAUAAAAUGGAAAAUAGAGGUUAAAGUAAUAUUUGCUCCCAACAAAGGACCAUCCUACAGGAAGCUGAAGAUGGAGUCUUGCUGUGUUGACCAUGCUGAAGUGCAGUGGCUGUUCACAGGCACGAUCAUAGUGUACAACAGCCUCCAAUUCCUGGGCUCAAGUGAUCUUCCUGC
Molecule: long non-coding RNA, 1404 nt
Filed under: Homo sapiens (human)
Lineage: Eukaryota; Metazoa; Chordata; Mammalia; Primates; Hominidae
Description: HSALNT0185797
Source: RNAcentral